Molecule: non-coding RNA, 165 nt
Organism: Arvicanthis niloticus (Nile rat)
Lineage: Eukaryota; Metazoa; Chordata; Mammalia; Rodentia; Muridae
Source: RefSeq, a predicted model, not a curated record
AUCCUGUAUGGAAGACAGGAGUGAUAUGAUCAUGAAGGUGGAUUUCCCAUGGGUGUGGUUCACUCAUUGCACUCUGAGUGUACUGACCCCAGCAACUGUGCCAAAUAUAGCAAAUUUAACUGCACAUUUGUGGUAGUGUGGAGACUAUGUUUACACUCUGCUGUU